GCGGGGGUAGCUUAAGCAGAGCACAACCCUCCAAGGUUGCGGUAUGAGUUCAAGUCUCAUUCCCCGCUCCA
This 71-nucleotide transfer RNA is filed under the name Betaproteobacteria bacterium. Its description in RNAcentral is "tRNA-OTHER". It matches the Rfam family "tRNA". Rfam says of the family: Transfer RNA (tRNA) molecules are approximately 80 nucleotides in length. Their secondary structure includes four short double-helical elements and three loops (D, anti-codon, and T loops). Lineage: Bacteria; Pseudomonadati; Pseudomonadota; Betaproteobacteria. The record is from RNAcentral.